Cyanistes caeruleus (blue tit) is the source of this 261-nucleotide long non-coding RNA. RefSeq lists it as uncharacterized. The record is from RefSeq and is a predicted model, not a curated record. NCBI's taxonomy places the organism in Eukaryota, Metazoa, Chordata, Aves, Passeriformes, Paridae.
CUCUGGGUACAGAGCCUCAACUCAUUGAACAGACUCACUUGUCAACCUUCAGAAUCUGCAGAUCAGCUACCACACAGAAGGCACUGUUCCCCAUUUACGUCAUCAGCUUCACUGCUGUACCUAGGAAUUUCUACUGUACUGUGCUUUACUCCAUGCACCAUCACUCACACUGAAAGACCUCUAACUGAAAAGAGGCAGCCUGCCUGAGUGGUUGCUAAUGCAAAAUAAUGGAAGAAGUAACCAAUAAAAGCCAACAUAUUG